RNAcentral lists this ribosomal RNA (409 nucleotides) under uncultured Glomeromycotina. RNAcentral describes it as "SSU rRNA". It matches the Rfam family "Eukaryotic small subunit ribosomal RNA", at positions 569 to 985 of the family's 1831-position model. Lineage: Eukaryota; Fungi; Glomeromycota. The record is from RNAcentral.
AGCAGCCGCGGUAAUUCCAGCUCCAAUAGCGUAUAUUACAGUUGUUGCAGUUAAAAAGCUCGUAGUUGAAUUUCGGGACCAAUAUGUCGGUCGUACUUCGUACGUACUAGCAUUAUUGGUUUCUCCCUUCUGAAGAACCACGAUGUCAUUAAUUUGGUGUCGUGGGGAAUCAGGACUGUUACUUUGAAAAAAUUAGAGUGUUUAAAGCAGGCUCGCGCUUGAAUACAUUAGCAUGGAAUAAUGAAAUAGGACGUUUGAUUCUAUUUUGUUGGUUUCUAGGAUCGACGUAAUGAUUAAUAGGGAUAGUUGGGGGCAUUAGUAUUCAAUUGUCAGAGGUGAAAUUCUUGGAUUUAUUGAAGCUAACUACUGCGAAAGCAUUUGCCAAGGAUGUUUUCAUUAAUCAAGAACG